AUUGAACGCUGGCGGCAUGCCUUACACAUGCAAGUCGAACGGCAGCACGGGUGCUUGCCCCUGGUGGCGAGUGGCGAACGGGUGAGUAAUACAUCGGAACAUGACCUGUAGUGGGGGAUAGCCCGGCGAAAGCCGGAUUAAUACCGCAUACGAUCUACGGAUGAAAGCGGGGGACCUUCGGGCCUCGCGCUAUAGGGUUGGCCGAUGGCUGAUUAGCUAGUUGGUGGGGUAAAGGCCUACCAAGGCGACGAUCAGUAGCUGGUCUGAGAGGACGACCAGCCACACUGGGACUGAGACACGGCCCAGACUCCUACGGGAGGCAGCAGUGGGGAAUUUUGGACAAUGGGCGAAAGCCUGAUCCAGCAAUGCCGCGUGUGUGAAGAAGGCCUUCGGGUUGUAAAGCACUUUUGUCCGGAAAGAAAUCCUUGGCCCUAAUACGGUCGGGGGAUGACGGUACCGGAAGAAUAAGCACCGGCUAACUACGUG
RNAcentral lists this ribosomal RNA (486 nucleotides) under uncultured bacterium. RNAcentral's name for it is "partial 16S ribosomal RNA". It matches the Rfam family "Bacterial small subunit ribosomal RNA", at positions 30 to 507 of the family's 1533-position model. The record is from RNAcentral.